CAGCAGCCGCGGUAAUACAGAGGGUGCGAGCGUUAAUCGGAUUUACUGGGCGUAAAGCGUGCGUAGGCGGCUUUUUAAGUCGGAUGUGAAAUCCCUGAGCUUAACUUAGGAAUUGCAUUCGAUACUGGGAAGCUAGAGUAUGGGAGAGGAUGGUAGAAUUCCAGGUGUAGCGGUGAAAUGCGUAGAGAUCUGGAGGAAUACCGAUGGCGAAGGCAGCCAUCUGGCCUAAUACUGACGCUGAGGUACGAAAGCAUGGGGAGCAAACAGGAUUAGAUACUCCAGUAGUCCCUGUCUCUUAUAU
Molecule: ribosomal RNA, 301 nt
Filed under: uncultured bacterium
Lineage: Bacteria
Description: partial 16S ribosomal RNA
Rfam family: Bacterial small subunit ribosomal RNA
Source: RNAcentral